GAUAAACGCUGGCGGCGCACAUAAGACAUGCAAGUCGAACGGAAGUCGUUAUAAAAUGGAAUGAAGAUUUAUCUGAGUGAAAUUUUGUAACAAUGGCUUUAGUGGCGGACUGGUGAGUAACACGUAAGCAAUCUACCUAUUAGAGGGGAAUAACAAUGAGAAAUCAUUGCUAAUACCGCAUAAGCUUGUAGUAUCGCAUGGUACAGCAAGAAAAGGAGAAAUCCGCUAAUAGAUGAGCUUGCGGCUGAUUAGAUAGUUGGUGGGGUAACGGCUUACCAAGUCGACGAUCAGUAGCCGGACUGAGAGGUUGAACGGCCACAUUGGGACUGAGAUACGGCCCAGACUCCUACGGGAGGCAGCAGUCGGGAAUAUUGCGCAAUGGAGGAAACUCUGACGCAGUGACGCCGCGUGCAGGAAGAAGGUUUUCGGAUUGUAAACUGCUUUAGACAGGGAAGAAACAAGACAGUACCUGUAGAAU
This 478-nucleotide ribosomal RNA is filed under the name uncultured bacterium. RNAcentral's name for it is "bacterial SSU rRNA". It matches the Rfam family "Bacterial small subunit ribosomal RNA", at positions 28 to 487 of the family's 1533-position model. The record is from RNAcentral.